GAUGAACGCUAGCUACAGGCCUAACACAUGCAAGUCGAGGGGCAGCGGGAAGGAAGCUUGCUUUCUUCGCCGGCGACCGGCGCACGGGUGAGUAACGCGUAUCCAACCUGCCCACCACUUGGGGAUAACCUUGCGAAAGUAAGACUAAUACCCAAUGAUAUCCCACGAAGGCAUCCGAAUGGGAUUAAAGAUUUAUCGGUGAUGGAUGGGGAUGCGUCUGAUUAGCUUGUUGGCGGGGUAACGGCCCACCAAGGCUACGAUCAGUAGGGGUUCUGAGAGGAAGGUCCCCCACAUUGGAACUGAGACACGGUCCAAACUCCUACGGGAGGCAGCAGUGAGGAAUAUUGGUCAAUGGACGGAAGUCUGAACCAGCCAAGUAGCGUGCAGGACGACGGCCCUAUGGGUUGUAAACUGCUUUUAUGAAGGAAUAAAGUCACCCACGUGUGGGUGUUUGCAUGUACUUUAUGAAUAAGGACCGGCUAAUUCCGUGCCAGCAGCCG
Molecule: ribosomal RNA, 500 nt
Filed under: uncultured bacterium
Lineage: Bacteria
Description: bacterial SSU rRNA
Rfam family: Bacterial small subunit ribosomal RNA
Source: RNAcentral